AUCUAUGGCCAUACCACCCUGAACAUGCCCGAUCUUGUCUGAUCUCGGAGGCUAAGCAGGGUCGAGCCUGGUUAGUACUUGGAUGAGAGAGAGAAGCAUGCUCUCUAAAGC
Erinaceus europaeus (western European hedgehog) is the source of this 111-nucleotide ribosomal RNA. The record is from Ensembl. NCBI's taxonomy places the organism in Eukaryota, Metazoa, Chordata, Mammalia, Eulipotyphla, Erinaceidae.